This 292-nucleotide long non-coding RNA is filed under the name Taeniopygia guttata (zebra finch). RNAcentral describes it as "lncRNA (ENSTGUG00000019993.1)". The record is from RNAcentral. Lineage: Eukaryota; Metazoa; Chordata; Aves; Passeriformes; Estrildidae.
CUCUUGGUGUUCAAACCUGCUAUGAGGGAGCAAGAGGCAAUAAAGGAAGUUGAACACUGAGGAAGUGUUUCAAACUGUGUUGUUUUCCCUGCUAUAUCAAACAUUCAGUGGGCACACCCCCAACACUGUUCUCCAUGUCCAAAAAAAGAGCGUUUUUGGAUGAGUAGCUCUCGUGAACCAAAAAAUUAAACCAAUGAUCCAGAACCAGCUUCAUAAGACAGGUGAGACUUUCUAGUUUGGUGCUUUUCUAUGUGAGGAAGAGCAUGGAGAUUUUACAUCGAAACACAAGAUU